Eutrema salsugineum is the source of this 105-nucleotide small nucleolar RNA. It matches the Rfam family "Plant small nucleolar RNA R71". Rfam says of the family: R71 is a member of the C/D box family of snoRNAs containing the C (UGAUGA) and D (CUGA) box motifs. NCBI's taxonomy places the organism in Eukaryota, Viridiplantae, Streptophyta, Magnoliopsida, Brassicales, Brassicaceae. The record is from Rfam.
AAACCAUGAUGAGGGCAGUCUCUCUCAUACUCUUUAAAUCGCUCCCAAGCUUCAUAAAAUGAUUCUAUUAGGUGUUUCUCAGCUGGUUCGAUCUUGACUGGGUGU